This 435-nucleotide ribosomal RNA is filed under the name uncultured bacterium. Its description in RNAcentral is "partial 16S ribosomal RNA". It matches the Rfam family "Bacterial small subunit ribosomal RNA", at positions 29 to 507 of the family's 1533-position model. The record is from RNAcentral.
AACGAACGCUGGCGGCAGGCUUAACACAUGCAAGUCGAACGCGUGCAGCAAUGCACGAGUGGCGCACGGGUGAGUAACGCGUGGAUAUCUGCCUUUUGGUUCGGAAUAACCCCGGGAAACUGGGGCUAAUACCGGAUGGUUCCUACGGGAUAAAGAUUUAUCGCCAAAAGAUGAGUCCGCGUCCGAUUAGCUAGUUGGUGAGGUAAUGGCUCACCAAGGCGACGAUCGGUAGCUGGUCUGAGAGGACGAUCAGCCACACUGGGACUGAGACACGGCCCAGACUCCUACGGGAGGCAGCAGUGGGGAAUAUUGGACCAUGGGGGCAACCCUGAUCCAGCCAUGCCGCGUGAGUGAUGAAGGCCUUCGGGUUGUAAAGCUCUUUUGGCGGGGACGAUGAUGACGGUACCCGCAGAAUAAGCCCCGGCUAACUUCGUG